AGAAGAAGACUCACGCGGCGCAAAGCGUGGUGGUGGCGGCGGCGGCGAUCCCGUGAGGGCAGCCACCCCGGCGGAAUGGAUGGGCGGACGACUGCCGCGUCCCUGAGCGUGAUAUUUUGCUAUCGCCUCGAGCGCGGCGAGGCACCCAGCCCUGGCCAGUCGCCUCCCGCAUCUGAGAGUGUGAUAUUUCGCUAUCGCCUCCAGAGCGGCGAGGCAGCCAGCCCUGCCGCCCGGGCAGGGCGGAGAGACCUGUGUCAUU
This 259-nucleotide unclassified non-coding RNA is filed under the name uncultured Helvella. Its description in RNAcentral is "sequence contains ITS2". The record is from RNAcentral. Lineage: Eukaryota; Fungi; Ascomycota; Pezizomycetes; Pezizales; Helvellaceae.